GAGCUUGCUCCUUUGACGUUAGCGGCGGACGGGUGAGUAACACGUGGGUAACCUACCUAUAAGACUGGGAUAACUUCGGGAAACCGGAGCUAAUACCGGAUAACAUUUGGAACCGCAUGGUUCUAAAGUGAAAGAUGGUUUUGCUAUCACUUAUAGAUGGACCCGCGCCGUAUUAGCUAGUUGGUAAGGUAACGGCUUACCAAGGCGACGAUACGUAGCCGACCUGAGAGGGUGAUCGGCCACACUGGAACUGAGACACGGUCCAGACUCCUACGGGAGGCAGCAGUAGGGAAUCUUCCGCAAUGGGCGAAAGCCUGACGGAGCAACGCCGCGUGAGUGAUGAAGGGUUUCGGCUCGUAAAACUCUGUUAUUAGGGAAGAACAAACGUGUAAGUAACUGUGCACGUCUUGACGGUACCUAAUCAGAAAGCCACGGCUAACUACGUGCCAGCAGCCGCGGUAAUACGUAGGUGGCAAGCGUUAUCCGGAAUUAUUGGGCGUAAAGCGCGCGUAGGCGGUUUCUUAAGUCUGAUGUGAAAGCCCACGGCUCAACCGUGGAGGGUCAUUGGAAACUGGGAAACUUGAGUGCAGAAGAGGAAAGUGGAAUUCCAUGUGUAGCGGUGAAAUGCGCAGAGAUAUGGAGGAACACCAGUGGCGAAGGCGACUUUCUGGUCUGUAACUGACGCUGAUGUGCGAAAGCGUGGGGAUCAAACAGGAUUAGAUACCCUGGUAGUCCACGCCGUAAACGAUGAGUGCUAAGUGUUAGGGGGUUUCCGCCCCUUAGUGCUGCAGCUAACGCAUUAAGCACUCCGCCUGGGGAGUACGACCGCAAGGUUGAAACUCAAAGGAAUUGACGGGGACCCGCACAAGCGGUGGAGCAUGUGGUUUAAUUCGAAGCAACGCGAAGAACCUUACCAAAUCUUGACAUCCUUUGAAAACUCUAGAGAUAGAGCCUUCCCCUUCGGGGGACAAAGUGACAGGUGGUGCAUGGUUGUCGUCAGCUCGUGUCGUGAGAUGUUGGGUUAAGUCCCGCAACGAGCGCAACCCUUAAGCUUAGUUGCCAUCAUUAAGUUGGGCACUCUAGGUUGACUGCCGGUGACAAACCGGAGGAAGGUGGGGAUGACGUCAAAUCAUCAUGCCCCUUAUGAUUUGGGCUACACACGUGCUACAAUGGACAAUACAAAGGGCAGCUAAACCGCGAGGUCAUGCAAAUCCCAUAAAGUUGUUCUCAGUUCGGAUUGUAGUCUGCAACUCGACUACAUGAAGCUGGAAUCGCUAGUAAUCGUAGAUCAGCAUGCUACGGUGAAUACGUUCCCGGGUCUUGUACACACCGCCCGUCACACCACGAGAGUUUGUAACACCCGAAGCCGGUGGAGUAACCAUUUAUGGAGCUAGCCGUCGAAGGUGGACAAAUG
Molecule: ribosomal RNA, 1414 nt
Filed under: Staphylococcus saprophyticus
Lineage: Bacteria; Bacillati; Bacillota; Bacilli; Caryophanales; Staphylococcaceae
Description: bacterial SSU rRNA
Rfam family: Bacterial small subunit ribosomal RNA
Source: RNAcentral